Acanthosepion pharaonis is the source of this 112-nucleotide non-coding RNA. The record is from the annotation of a GenBank genome assembly. Lineage: Eukaryota; Metazoa; Mollusca; Cephalopoda; Sepiida; Sepiidae.
ACAGUUAUAUCACGUUGAUACACCGGUUGCCGUACGAUCACUGAAGUUAAGCAAUGUCGAGCCUGGACAGUACCUAGUUGGGUGACCGCUUGGGAAAACCAAGUGCUGUAAG